GGUGGUUCUUGGGUGAUGCACCCCGGAAUUGGGCUCCCUCCUCUCUGGUUCUGGGUGCGACACCUGAGAAUUGGA
Myotis davidii is the source of this 75-nucleotide non-coding RNA. Lineage: Eukaryota; Metazoa; Chordata; Mammalia; Chiroptera; Vespertilionidae. The record is from Rfam.